UAACAAGAGGCUGGAUGCUGCGUCCAUCACCAGAGGGGCCGGGAUUGCUGCGGCAGCUAGCCAAUUAAAGGAGGAGGAUGAAGGAGAGGAGUCUGACGAUGCAGACAUCGCCAUCGUAUGCAGGCCACGCCCUCGCAGGAAAACCAGCCAAUGAAAGCGCUCGCAUCAGCAGAACACACCGGCACGACUGACAGAGCUUCUGAAGCAUGCAGUGGAAGAGCUGUCAGUCAAGCUAAAGGUCCCGCCCUCCAACCUGCUGCUGCUGCACGGAGAGGCGGAACUUAACACCUCACACACUAUUGGCCAGCUAGGACUCUGCAUCGCUGACAUCAUUGUCUGGAACCAACUUCACAUCCCUCUUCACUGCACUACUGACACUGAGAUGGAAUCCACAACCCAACCACUAGUGGUCUGCAUUGGGAACCUGAAGAGUCUGUCAUCACCACCAGGAAUGACCGCGUGACCAUUCCCGUUGCAGACGGCCUGACUUGCACAAUUGACAAGCUGUUCAAGCUUUACUGGGUCUGCAACUUGUCAUAUCCAGCACAGCUCAGCUCUGUUUUCACCUUCUUUGAAUAUGUUUAUGACGUUCCAUCUCAACCAACAAACGACCAAAGGUACUAGAACUUCUCUCAAAGCUUCCCAGCAACCCAGUGAUCACUCAACAUGUGUUUAUGCCCAAGUACACGCUUUGUCAGAUGCACAGGGCAUGACGAUAAUAUGCAGCCAAGAUGGCUGUUCAAGUGUACAAGGACUUACUACGUAGACACCACCAGUCCACAACAACAGAAAUGGGUGUAUCUUUCAAUGACUCUUUUGAAUCCACUGACAUUCAGACAACCUAUGCAGCUUCAAGUAACACCUGAAGAAAGAGCAUUUUGUGUUCCUUCUCAAGGACAGAUUCUCUAUAAUUUACCACUUAAUGACAAUUUAUCUGUGUUCAUGCUUGUUAGGAUUAUUACUGAGAAUUAUUUUGAUUAUCAUUUUGGCAACACUUUAUUUUAGCAUUACAUCUAUUAGCUCUAAUACAUACAGUAUUAAUGCCUGUAUGCUCUAAGUAACUUGUAAGGCAUGCACUAAGCAAAAUCAAAUAUAUGUUAGGCAUGUAUUCGCAAAUUACUUGUUCAUGCACAAUUAGGGAUUUAUUACCUAAUAUAACCUCAAUAAGGACCUAACAAAUGUUUGAUUUCGCUUAGUACAUGCCUUACAAGUUACUUAUACAGGCAUUAACCCAUUGAUGCUGGAUGUUGCAUUGGCCCUGGCGCCUGGAGUUUUGUAUGGCAUCAGCACCCUUUUCUGCAAGUGCUUUAGGCAUCAAUGGGUUAACAUAUUAUGUAUUAGUGCUAAGCGAUGUAAUGUUAAAAUUAAGUGUUACCAUCAUAUUUUUAAAAAAUAUAUAUGUUGUAAAACUGGACGAUUGUGAAAUGAUAUGAUGUGGCAGAUGUAAGACCCAUUGAUGUAAUGCAGAGUUUUCAUUCAGAUGAACUGUCUCUUAACCCAAGGUACAAUGUCUUUUCUUUCAAUAUGUUGGAAGCUAUUUCAUAACAAUGUUAUUUUCAAGAAUAUUCAACACUAUUUCGAAUUUCAAGACUUUCUGGUUUUGUUAUACACCGGUAAUGUUGUUAAGAGAUGAUAGUGUACGAGUCAUAAUCAAUACUUCAUGAAAUUGGCAGUGGUGUUAAUUAUUCUUGAAAAAGAUAACAUUUGUUAUCUCCCCCUCUUCUGAAAAGCAUAACAAAAAAGAAUAUGACAGUUAAGUUAAUGUAAUACUUUUUUUUUUUAAUUGAGUGUAAUCACAACUGUACAAAAAAAAAAAAAACGUUGUAGAGGUCUUUUAACAGUGCAAGAAAACACACGCUAAAUAUAUGUAGUCAAGACUUUUGAAGAUUGAACCUUGUAAACAAAAGUGUUUGCUAGAUAAAAGUAAACCCCCCCUGUCACUUUCCAUGUGAUAAAUGUCAGUAUAUAUUUGAAAACUAGAAGUUUCAAGGUUUUUAAUGCUGUCACUUUUCUGUUUGAAUGACAACUCACAGAGUUACAGAUGUUUUUGUAGAAGUGACAGAUGGGGUCACCGGUGACCCCGUAGACCUCAGAGUGUUAAGGAAAGACUGUAUGAGUCAUUGUGAAUACUUGCUGAAAUACUGAAUAAACAGAAUUUAUUGUAAA
This is a long non-coding RNA of Engraulis encrasicolus (European anchovy), 2166 nucleotides long. RefSeq lists it as uncharacterized. The transcript is spliced from 3 exons. The record is from RefSeq and is a predicted model, not a curated record. Lineage: Eukaryota; Metazoa; Chordata; Actinopteri; Clupeiformes; Engraulidae.